This 433-nucleotide ribosomal RNA is filed under the name uncultured bacterium. Its description in RNAcentral is "bacterial SSU rRNA". It matches the Rfam family "Bacterial small subunit ribosomal RNA", at positions 28 to 507 of the family's 1533-position model. The record is from RNAcentral.
GAUGAACGCUGGCGGCGUGGAUAAGGCAUGCAAGUCGAGCGGCCCGCAAGGGCAGCGGCCGACGAGGUAGUAAUAAUCAAGUACGUACCCUGGAGUCGGGCAUAGCCCGUCGAAAGGCUGGGUAAUUCCCGAUAGUCUCGCAAGAGUAAAGUUUUUCGCUCUGGGAACGGCUUGAUCGGUAUCAGCUAGUUGGUAAGGUAACGGCUUACCAAGGCAAUGACGCCUAGGGGACCUGAGAGGGUGACCCCCCCCGAUGGGACUGAGACCCGGCCCCUACACCUACGGGUGGCUGCCGUCGAGAAUUUUUCGCAAUGGACGAAAGUUUGACGGAGCGACGCCGCGUGGAGGAUGAAGUGCUUCGGUAUGUAAACUCCUUUUGCCGGGGACGAAGUUAUUGACGGUACCCGGAGAAUAAGAAGUUGCUAAACUCGUG